This 433-nucleotide ribosomal RNA is filed under the name uncultured bacterium. RNAcentral's name for it is "partial 16S ribosomal RNA". It matches the Rfam family "Bacterial small subunit ribosomal RNA", at positions 29 to 507 of the family's 1533-position model. The record is from RNAcentral.
AACGAACGCUGGCGGCAUGCCUAACACAUGCAAGUCGAACGAGACCUUCGGGUCUAGUGGCGCACGGGUGCGUAACGCGUGGGAACCUGCCCUUAGGUUCGGAAUAACUCCCCGAAAGGGGUGCUAAUACCGGAUAAUGUCUUCGGACCAAAGAUUUAUCGCCUUUGGAUGGGCCCGCGUUGGAUUAGCUAGUUGGUAGGGUAAAAGCCUACCAAGGCGACGAUGCAUAGCUGGUCUGAGAGGAUGAUCAGCCACACUGGAACUGAGACACGGCCCAGACUGCGACGGGAGGGAGCAGUGGGGAAUAUUGGACGAGGGGCGAAAGCCUGAUACAGCAAUGUCGCGUGAGUGAUGAAGGCCUUAGUGUUGUAAAGCUCUUUUACCCGGGAUGAUAAUGACGGUACCGGGAGAAUAAGCUCCGGCUAACUCCGUG